AGAGCAUCAGCUAUGUUAUAUUUUAAAGACUUAUAUACUUGGGAGAUAAGAAUACACUCAGUAUAUAAUUACAUUGAUGUUUUUAUAUUAACACUGGGCUAUUUUUUAAAUAAAAAAAACCUUUUUUUUGUAGUUGAGAUGGAUAGGAUGCCUUUAUUUAUUUAUUAAAUUUUUAUGUGGGGUUAAGGAUCGAACCCAGUGCCUCAUGCAUGCUCGGCAAAUGCUCUGCCGCUGAGCCAAAGCCCCAGCUCAACACCAAGCUAGUUUUAAAAAGUCACUCCUCUCCCCCUUUUAUUUAAAAUGACUAAUGCACAUCUCUUUUUGAGGAGUUUCCCACUCAACCUUGACAAUCAGAGUUCCCAUGAGAGUUUGAGGCCUGUUUAGGCCCCAAUUGUCAUGACGUGCAUGACACUCAGUUUCCUGAACUUGGGCUGAUGGGGAGUUAGAAAUAAGAAAUAUAAGAAAUAAAGAUACAGAAUUAUAGGUUACUAGCAGGCUCGUGGGUGAAUCAGCCCUGGUGAGAUCUGAUCUCUGACAAAGUGGGAGAGCCCACGUGCUUUAUAUAGGCAAAAAAACAUCAAAAGGAUUUGAGAAAAACUUCUUUAAGGUAAACAAAAGUGAAGUUGGGCAGGAAUGGGGGAAUUGGAGCUUAUCUACUUUUAUGAUAUCUUCUCUAGCUCUGGGCAGCUGGCACUUCAAGGCUGUUGAGCAUGGCCAUGUUUCUUUCACCCCAGGGCAGCAGGCUUUUGAAUUUAAAGCUAUCGAACUGUAAAUUCCAUGCCAGGCAUGGAAUCUGCCCCAUUAACAGUGGUCACCUAAAUGGAUGUUUCUUUCAGCAACAUCCUACUGAAAGAUUCCCAGAAAUGGCAUCUCGCUGUCCAGGGACAUGGAGUUCAAAAUAAUGAUGAUUUGCCACUACCAACAGAGAUCACGCAGAACUGAGGAUAUUAGAGGAUUUUGAUGUCUGAGACCUGAGUUUUGGGUUUGUGGUAUUAGGUUGAGACCUCUCCGGUGUGGAUUUUGAGGUCUAUGAUUAGAAUUCAAGUCCUGGAUUUUAUUGAGAUUUUAAAGGAUGUGAGACUGGAUAUGGGGGUGUUUCAUUGACAUACUUUAAGGGACUCCGGAGGGGAGAAUCCAGGGAUAUGCAUUGGAGGGUCUCAGGGUUAGAAGGUUUCAAAACUGUGGAUGUGAAGUGCCUGGGAGGGGAAAUGGUGGAAAGACCAGUAGGAUCUUGUAGUGAGCACUGGAGGCCAGGUGUGUCCCUCCUUGGUUUUGGCCCUGUGCUGUCUGUUGAUGUCCAGACUCUUCACAAGAGCCUCAGGGUGAGGCCAGGUGGUUGUAGCAGAAUUGCAGUCCUGCAGUAGUCAUGUGCGGCUGGGACAGGCAUAGAAGACCAGAGUCACAUAUCAGUGGAACUUUAUACAGACCGCAGAAGAGUAACUCAGAGUUGCAGCUGAGAGAGGGAAGAGUCAGGUGUUGGUCAAUAGCAAGAAAGAUCAUGAAUAUGGUUGAAAGUCACAACUGUCCCAGGGGUUUUAAUUUACCAAGGACUCUCUGGGUUCCCACCCAGAACCUUAGGGAAUCUUGCUAAAUUCAUUUGACCAUUUCUGUUAUUUGCAUUAUCAUUGUUAUUAAUGUUUCCAAUUCACAUAUGAGUGUCCUAAGGACAGAAUAUAGAGGGUGAACAGGGGGACACACAUGAGAAGCCCUUAGACCAAACCUUAAAUUUCUACUCUGCAUUCUCAAGUUCCCCUUUCUGGGCUUUGGUUUCCUCACCAGUGAAAUGAGCCAUUUGGGAAGUGAGGGUCUCGGAGGAGUUAAGUCUCCUAGAGGACUGAUUCCUGGGUUUCCAGGGGUUGUUACAAACUCUAGCCAAAGAGAUCUGG
RNAcentral lists this long non-coding RNA (1886 nucleotides) under Marmota monax (woodchuck). The record is from RNAcentral. Lineage: Eukaryota; Metazoa; Chordata; Mammalia; Rodentia; Sciuridae.